Molecule: ribosomal RNA, 548 nt
Filed under: uncultured bacterium
Lineage: Bacteria
Description: bacterial SSU rRNA
Rfam family: Bacterial small subunit ribosomal RNA
Source: RNAcentral
GACGAACGCUGGCGGCGUGCUUAACACAUGCAAGUCGAACGAAGAGCGAUGGAAGCUUGCUUCUAUCAAUCUUAGUGGCGAACGGGUGAGUAACGCGUAAUCAACCUGCCCUUCAGAGGGGGACAACAGUUGGAAACGACUGCUAAUACCGCAUACGAUCCRAUCUCGGCAUCGAGACUGGAUGAAAGGUGGCCUCUAUUUAUAAGCUAUCACUGAAGGAGGGGAUUGCGUCUGAUUAGCUAGUUGGAGGGGUAACGGCCCACCAAGGCGAUGAUCAGUAGCCGGUCUGAGAGGAUGAACGGCCACAUUGGGACUGAGACACGGCCCAGACUCCUACGGGAGGCAGCAGUGGGGAAUCUUCCGCAAUGGACGAAAGUCUGACGGAGCAACGCCGCGUGAGUGAUGACGGCCUUCGGGUUGUAAAGCUCUGUUAAUCGRGACGAAUGGUUCUUGUGCRAAUAGUGCGAGGAUUUGACGGUACCGGAAUAGAAAGCCACGGCUAACUACGUGCCAGCAGCCGCGGUAAUACGUAGGUGGCAAGCGUUGUC